UCAGGCGCCCAUUUUGAAAAUUUUCCUGUACUGUAGCUUCUGGAGAGGGGGUUGUCUGUCGCGCGGGUUCUUCUUUGCGCCUCUCUCUACCCUCGCUUUCUCUCCCCGACGAACUCCCUCUCUCUCUGCCCUCGCUUUUUCCGACCGGCGAGCCACCACGAGCAACCGACGAACCAGGAGGAUACCGGCGAGACGACCGCGAGCAACCGACCGGUGUGCGACCUCCCUCUCUCUCUCUCUGCCCUCCCUCUUCCCGACCGGCGAACAACCGCGCCGCCCUUCUGGCUCCGCUUCUGGCCCCGACUCGUCCGUCCCGUACUCUUUAUCUCUCCUCGCAUCUCUGUCUGCCCUCCCUCUCUUCGACAGCGAACCACCGCGUGACCGGCGAACCACCGCGCCACCCCCCUCCGGCUCCAGAUCCGGCACCGGCUUGUCCAGGUUCUUGUGGAACUGUCUAUCACGCUCUGUGGGAGAAAGAAUUGGCUGCUGUGAAAGAUCAAUGCAGCUGAAGUUGAUAUAAUCGCUAAUGAACUUGAGCUGGACCGGAAGGUGGCUGAAAGGACCUUACGUGAGCAUAGAGGUGAUGUUGUUGCUGCAAUUCGUUCCUUGCUUCGAUAAAGAAUUGGUGGCACGAAAAAAUGGGAUUUGUGAUUUUUCUGAGGACAUACCGACUUGCCCAUAAGUCAUAACAUUGUCCAAGUAGGAUCAAAAAGCUGUAUGAGUCGUGCUUCUUUUGGGGAUACAUGACUUGCUUUCUGGGAGAUUGUACUCUCGCCGAUUUUGGCUGCUAAUGUUCAGCCCUGCAUUUUUGCCCUUCCAUGAAGUUCAUGCCGGGAAUUUUGGACAGUACGAAAAUCAUGUACAAUUUCAACGAACAAAAAAUCAUAAAUCCACAAGCCUAUGCUCAAUAAUGUGAGGUC
Molecule: long non-coding RNA, 920 nt
Organism: Eucalyptus grandis
Lineage: Eukaryota; Viridiplantae; Streptophyta; Magnoliopsida; Myrtales; Myrtaceae
Exons: 4
Source: RefSeq, a predicted model, not a curated record